GACGAACGCUGGCGGCGUGCUUAACACAUGCAAGUCGAACGGUGAAGGGGUCUGCUUUUGUGGGCCCUGGAUGAGUGGCGAACGGGUGAGUAACACGUGAGUAACCUGCCCCCUUCUUCUGGAUAACCGCAUGAAAGUGUGGCUAAUACGGGAUAUUCUGGGUCUGUCGCAUGAUGGGUCUGGGAAAGAUUGCGCCUUUGGGUGUUUUUGGUGGGGGAUGGGCUCGCGGCCUAUCAGCUUGUUGGUGGGGUGAUGGCCUACCAAGGCGGUGACGGGUAGCCGGCCUGAGAGGGUGGACGGUCACACUGGGACUGAGACACGGCCCAGACUCCUACGGGAGGCAGCAGUGGGGAAUAUUGCACAAUGGGCGCAAGCCUGAUGCAGCGACGCCGCGUGAGGGAUGGAGGCCUUCGGGUUGUAAACCUCUUUCGCCAGUGAAGCAGGCCUGCUCAUUGUGGGUGGGUUGACGGUAGCUGGAUAAGAAGCGCCGGCUAACUACGUG
Molecule: ribosomal RNA, 502 nt
Filed under: uncultured bacterium
Lineage: Bacteria
Description: partial 16S ribosomal RNA
Rfam family: Bacterial small subunit ribosomal RNA
Source: RNAcentral